Molecule: ribosomal RNA, 497 nt
Filed under: uncultured bacterium
Lineage: Bacteria
Description: partial 16S ribosomal RNA
Rfam family: Bacterial small subunit ribosomal RNA
Source: RNAcentral
GAUGAACGCUGGCGGCGUGCAUAAUACAUGCAAGUCGAACGGACGGACGAGAAGCUUGCUUCUCUGAUGUUAGCGGCGGACGGGAGAGUAACACGUGGAUACCCUACCUAUAAGACUGGGAUAACUUCGGGAAACCGUAGCUAAUACCGGAUAAUAUUUUGAACCGCAUGGUUCGAAGGUGAAAGACGGUCUUGCUGUCACUUAUAGAUGGAUCCGCGCUGCAUUAGCUAGUUGGUAAGGUAACGGCUUACCAAGGCAACGAUGCAUAGACGACCUGUGAGGGUGAUCGGCCACACGGGAGCUGAGACACGGUCCUGACUCCUACGGUAGGCAGCAGUAGGGAAUCUUCCGCAAUGGGCGAAAGCCUGACGGAGCAACGCCGCGUGAGUUAUGAAGGUCUUCGGAUCGUAAAACUCUGUUACUAGGGAAGAACAUAUGUGUCAGUAACUGUGCACAGCUUGACGGUAAUUAAUCAGAAAGCCACGGCUAACUACGUG